UACGUAGGGACCGAGCGUUGUCCGGAUUCAUUGGGCGUAAAGAGCUCGUAGGCGGCUGCUCAAGUCGAAUGUGAAAACUCGAGGCUCAACCUCGAGCCUGCAUUCGAUACUGGGCGGCUAGAGUCUGGUAGGGGGAUCUGGAAUUCCUGGUGUAGCGGUGAAAUGCGCAGAUAUCAGGAGGAACACCGGUGGCGAAGGCGGGUCUCUGGGCCGUAACUGACGCUGAGGAGCGAAAGCGUGGGGAGCGAACAGG
RNAcentral lists this ribosomal RNA (253 nucleotides) under uncultured bacterium. Its description in RNAcentral is "partial 16S ribosomal RNA". It matches the Rfam family "Bacterial small subunit ribosomal RNA", at positions 524 to 776 of the family's 1533-position model. The record is from RNAcentral.